RNAcentral lists this ribosomal RNA (305 nucleotides) under uncultured bacterium. RNAcentral's name for it is "bacterial SSU rRNA". It matches the Rfam family "Bacterial small subunit ribosomal RNA", at positions 333 to 636 of the family's 1533-position model. The record is from RNAcentral.
UAAUGCCUACGGGGGGCAGCAGUGAGGAAUAUUGGUCAAUGGGCGAGAGCCUGAAUCAGCCACGUCGCGUGAGGGAAGACGGCCCUACGGGUUGUAAACCUCUUUUGUCAGGGAGCAAGAACGGAUACGUGUAUCCGAGCGAGAGUACCUGAAGAGAAAGCAUCGGCUAACUCCGUGCCAGCAGCCGCGGUAAUACGGAGGAUGCGAGCGUUAUCCGGAUUUAUUGGGUUUAAAGGGUGCGCAGGCGGCCUGUUAAGUCAGCGGUAAAAGCCCGGGGCUCAACCCCGGCGGGCCGUUGAAACUGG